UCGUGUCGUGAGAUGUUGGGUUAAGUCCCGCAACGAGCGCAACCCUCACCUCUUGUUGCCACCAGGUCAUGCUGGCACUCUAGAGGAACUGCCCCGGUCAACGGGGAGGAAGGCGGGGAUGACGUCAAGUCAUCAUGCCCCUUACGUCCUGGGCUACACACGUGCUACAAUGGCCGGUACAAAGGGAUGCCACACCGCGAGGUAGAGCUAAACCCAAAAAGCCGGUCUAAGUUCAGAUUGGAGUCUGCAACUCGACUCCAUGAAGGAGGAAUCGCUAGUAAUCGC
RNAcentral lists this ribosomal RNA (285 nucleotides) under uncultured Methylomirabilota bacterium. RNAcentral describes it as "uncultured candidate division NC10 bacterium partial 16S ribosomal RNA". It matches the Rfam family "Bacterial small subunit ribosomal RNA", at positions 1060 to 1345 of the family's 1533-position model. The record is from RNAcentral. Lineage: Bacteria; Methylomirabilota (SeqCode).